AGAGUUUGAUCCUGGCUCAGGAUGAUUUCUAGCUACAGGCUUAACACAUGCAAGUCGAGGGGCAGCAUCAUCAAAGCUUGCUUUGAUGGAUGGCGACCGGCGCACGGGUGAGUAACACGUAUCCAACCUGCCGACAACACUGGGAUAGCCUUUCGAAAGAAAGAUUAAUACCGGAUGGCAUAGUUUUCCCGCAUGGGAUGACUAUUAAAGAAUUUCGGUUGUCGAUGGGGAUGCGUUCCAUUAGGCAGUUGGCGGGGUAACGGCCCACCAAACCUACGAUGGAUAGGGGUUCUGAGAGGAAGGUCCCCCACAUUGGAACUGAGACACGGUCCAAACUCCUACGGGAGGCAGCAGUGAGGAAUAUUGGUCAAUGGACGAGAGUCUGAACCAGCCAAGUAGCGUGAAGGAUGACUGCCCUAUGGGUUGUAAACUUCUUUUAUACGGGAAUAAAGUUAGCCACGUGUGGCUUUUUGUAUGUACCGUAUGAAUAAGGAUCGGCUAACUCCGUGCCAGCAGCCGCGGUAAUACGGAGGAUCCGAGCGUUAUCCGGAUUUAUUGGGUUUAAAGGGAGCGUAGGCGGGUUGUUAAGUCAGUUGUGAAAGUUUGCGGCUCAACCGUAAAAUUGCAGUUGAUACUGGCGACCUUGAGUGCAACAGAGGUAGGCGGAAUUCGUGGUGUAGCGGUGAAAUGCUUAGAUAUCACGAAGAACUCCGAUUGCGAAGGCAGCUUACUGGAUUGUAACUGACGCUGAUGCUCGAAAGUGUGGGUAUCAAACAGGAUUAGAUACCCUGGUAGUCCACACAGUAAACGAUGAAUCCUUGCUGUUGGGGAUUAUACGGUCAGCGGCCAAGCGAAAGCAUUAAGUAUUCCACCUGGGGAGUACGCCGGCAACGGUGAAAUUCAAAGGAAUUGACGGGGGCCCGCACAAGCGGAGGAACAAUGUGGUUUAAUUCGAUGAUACGCGAGGAACCUUACCCGGGCUUAAAUUGCAACUGACGGAAUCGGAAACGGUUCUUUCUUCGGACAGUUGUGAAGGUGCUGCAUGGUUGUCGUCAGCUCGUGCCGUGAGGUGUCGGCUUAAGUGCCAUAACGAGCGCAACCCUUACGGGUAGUUACCAUCAGGUUAUGCUGGGGACUCUACCCGGACUGCCGUCGUAAGAUGUGAGGAAGGUGGGGAUGACGUCAAAUCAGCACGGCCCUUACGUCCGGGGCUACACACGUGUUACAAUGGGGGGUACAGAAGGCAGCUACACGGCGACGUGGUGCUAAUCCCGAAAGCCUCUCUCAGUUCGGAUUGGAGUCUGCAACCCGACUCCAUGAAGCUGGAUUCGCUAGUAAUCGCGCAUCAGCCACGGCGCGGUGAAUACGUUCCCGGGCCUUGUACUCACCGCCCGUCA
Molecule: ribosomal RNA, 1397 nt
Filed under: uncultured bacterium
Lineage: Bacteria
Description: 16S ribosomal RNA
Rfam family: Bacterial small subunit ribosomal RNA
Source: RNAcentral